CGAUGCCUAAGACAUGCAAGUCGAACGAGGUGGCCCAAUGAAGAUGGAGUGCUUGCACAAAGUUGGAUUUGGUUUACCACUUAGUGGCAGACGGGUGAGUAACACGUGGGUAACCUACCUCAAAGACUGGGACAACAGUUGGAAACGACUGCUAAUACCGGAUAAUCCAUAUUUAGAUAACUAGAUAUGUUAAAAGAAGCGUUUGCUUCACUUUGAGAUGGGCUUGCGGCGCAUUAGAUAGUUGGUGGGGUAAUGGCCUACCAAGUCGACGAUGCGUAUCCGAGCUGAGAGGCUGAUCGGACACACUGGGACUGAGACACGGCCCAGACUCCUACGGGAGACAGCAGUUAGGAAUAUUCGUCAAUGGGGGAAACCCUGAACGAGCAAUGCCGCGUGAGUGAUGAAGGCCCUAUGGGUCGUAAAACUCUGUUAUAAGGGAAGAAACCUUGGUAUAGGAAAUGAUAUCAAGCUGACGGUACCUUAUCAGAAAGCCCCGGCUAACUACGUG
RNAcentral lists this ribosomal RNA (508 nucleotides) under uncultured bacterium. RNAcentral's name for it is "bacterial SSU rRNA". It matches the Rfam family "Bacterial small subunit ribosomal RNA", at positions 43 to 507 of the family's 1533-position model. The record is from RNAcentral.